RNAcentral lists this non-coding RNA (29 nucleotides) under Rattus norvegicus (Norway rat). Lineage: Eukaryota; Metazoa; Chordata; Mammalia; Rodentia; Muridae. The record is from RNAcentral.
UCAGAAAUAAGUGGAUGGAAACUCGCCCU